This 878-nucleotide unclassified non-coding RNA is filed under the name uncultured Synechococcus sp. Its description in RNAcentral is "partial may contain 16S ribosomal RNA, 16S-23S ribosomal RNA intergenic spacer, and 23S ribosomal RNA". The stretch from base 348 to 420 matches the Rfam family "tRNA". The record is from RNAcentral. Lineage: Bacteria; Bacillati; Cyanobacteriota; Cyanophyceae; Synechococcales; Synechococcaceae.
CGUCGAAGGUGGGGCUGAUGACUGGGGUGAAGUCGUAACAAGGUAUCCGUACCGGAAGGUGCGGAUGGAUCACCUCCUAACAGGGAGACAACACAAUGAUUUUGAUGCCUGAGUGCUUUUAUUCUUAGGCCGAAAUCCUGUCACCUUAGGUCGAUCGGUACCUCAGCUUUGAAGUUAAGGAUCAGCAGCAAUGUUGAUUGCUUGAUGGAGAUUUUCAGUUCCUAAACUUUGUCUAGGUCACACCCCAAAAGGGAUGAGACUCCUGGGCCAUUAGCUCAGGUGGUUAGAGCGCACCCCUGAUAAGGGUGAGGUCCCUGGUUCAAGUCCAGGAUGGCCCAUUCGGUGUUGGGGGUUUAGCUCAGUUGGUAGAGCGCCUGCUUUGCAAGCAGGAUGUCAGGAGUUCGAGUCUCCUAACCUCCACUGACCGAACUUGAUUCCCAUCUCCAAUUUUUUGGAGUUGAGCUCGAUUGGAGUGUGAUUUAGAUGUGUCCGCUGGAUGACCCCAGCUUCCUGUCAUUCCAAGUUUUAGGUUGAUGCCUUGAAUUUGGUUGAUAAGAUGCUGGGCUCGGAUCAAAUGAUCAAGCAAUUGAUGAUUUGAUUUGAAGUUCUAGCAGAACCUUGACAACUGCAUAGGUGAGUCUGGAAAAAACAAAGCAUCUUACAGAUGCAUUGUUUUGAAUCUGAUCUUCUGAAAGGGAGAUUGGAUCUAGAACAAUGAAAAUUCUUUUGAGCAAGAGCCGAGACUCUUGAACGUUCUUUGAUUGGUGUCGAGCCAAUCAGAGUUUGAUCUUUUUUUUAGCAAUAAAAACUUGAGAAUCUGCUUUCAACGGCGGUAAGCGUUCAGGAGGUUAAUUGGUCAAGCUACAAAGGGCUCACGG